CAAUAGCGUAUAUUAAAGUUGUUGCAGUUACAAAGCUCGUAGUUGGAUUUCUGGUUGAAGCGACCGGUCGGGCGUUGAUUCGUCUGCACUGGAGUCGGUUUUGGCCAUCCUCUAGGAAAGUGCGUCUGGUAUUAAGUUAUCGGGCGUAUGAUCCUGGUCUUUUACUGUGAAAAAAUUAGAGUGUUUAAAGCAGGCCUUCGCCUUGAAUACAUUAGCAUGGAAUAAUAAGAUAGGACUUUGGUCUAUUUUGUUGGUUUGCAGACCGAAGUAAUGAUUAAUAGGGAUAGUUGGGGGUAUUUAUAUUCCGAUGUCAGAGGUGAAAUUCUUAGAUUUUCGGAAGAUAAACUUAUGCGAAAGCAUUUACCAAGGAUGUUUUCAUUAA
This 382-nucleotide ribosomal RNA is filed under the name uncultured eukaryote. RNAcentral describes it as "partial 18S ribosomal RNA". It matches the Rfam family "Eukaryotic small subunit ribosomal RNA", at positions 592 to 976 of the family's 1831-position model. The record is from RNAcentral.